UUUUUUAUUACUGUAAUUAUAAUUUUUUUUAUUGUAAGUCUAUGUAAUAAUGUUAUAAAACUGGUAAUUCUAAUAAAAUUUUGCAUAGACUAUGUCACGUGGGGCCAAAAUGAAGCAGGUCCUAUCAGCCGUCAAUGAAGGACAAAAUAUCAAUGUGAAAAGAUUAGCGACGGCGGAGCGCGCGGGGAGGCAAAAUUCUCAGUGCCUUACGCGGGGUGUCAAAUUUCGAUCGAUUUAACCCUGCAUCGAACACAAAGACCUAACCCCGUCCCUUCUCCCACUCCGUCCGCCGCCCCCAUCCCAUCGUCGCUGCCCCGCAUCCCUCCUACUCCUCCUCGAGCCUCCUGCAUCGCAUACUCAUAGCAGCGCCGUGCAGAUCCGUCAAAGACGGUGAGUCGCCCUUCUCUCAUAGCAGGGCCGCCAACCUCUUCGUCCUCGUCCUCAUCCACAAUAGACGUUGCAUGGAUCUCCAGAGACGGCGCACUGGUGACGCGGGUCUCGACAAGGCCGGCAUCAGUGGCCUUCAUCGAGGCCAAGAACUCAUGGAGCUUCAGAUCUCCAUCAGAACUAUCUGUAAGGGAAUACGGUUAGUCCAAAGUCGUUUUUUUAGCUUUUCCAUCCGCUAUUGACAUAGCUGUAGACUUUCGAUCUCUGUUUAACUCCGAUGUUAGUGCUGCCGGGAUUGUCCUUGGUGGGGUGGCGACAAUGCGUUCAGGUCCACUCACGCCUGGCUGCUGCUGCACGUUCAAGCAUGACCAGUCCCGUCGCCGGCAUCACAGGACGAGUGGCAGCCUAGAAGCAGUUUCUAUCACAGACGACGGGCUCAGAUUGUUGUGCAUAGAAAAAACAUUAUGCACGCCAUGGAUGCAUGUUAAUAUAUUUAUAGUCUAUACCGUCGUGUGUUGGAUGUGGUACUUUUUACAUGUUGGAGUAGUACUAAUAAGUCUCUAAUUAAUCCAGCAAUUCAGCGUGCGUGCGUAGUGUGUUGUAUCUAGCAAGAACCGAUCAGUCUGAUGGUUAGCUUUCUAACUAUUGUGUACGUUGAUUCAUUGUUAAUCAAUUAAUACAGAUGGAGUUUGCUUUGUGCAGGAUCAUGUCAAAGAGGAAUUUCCAUCCUUUGUCGUCAUCAUGGUCACCCCAUGCCGAAAAGUACUCUCGUAUGAAUGGACCAAGUCGGUGAAUCGUCAUCAGCGAGCUAGAACGUUCGAUGGGUUCACUCACAUAUAUUUUCUCAAAAGAUAAGGGAUGUAAAAUAUAGAAUCUUCCAACUUUCGGAGACAAUGUGUCUUUGAAGGGGAAAGUCUAAAUGUUGGACAAAGCAUAUUGGACUACAAAGUUAUCCACGCAGCAAGAUGAAGUAGCAAGAUCCAAAGAACUAGUUGGACUGGACUCUACAUCAUGGACACUUUAGUCUUCGUAGUUAAUUAGGAUGGCUAAAUUACAUUUGAGUUUCAUUUGAUGGAUAUUUGCUAUGAGAAUUAUGAAUUUUAUGAAUCUACAUAUCAUACAUAUGGUUUUGAA
Aegilops tauschii subsp. strangulata is the source of this 1521-nucleotide long non-coding RNA. RefSeq lists it as uncharacterized. The record is from RefSeq and is a predicted model, not a curated record. NCBI's taxonomy places the organism in Eukaryota, Viridiplantae, Streptophyta, Magnoliopsida, Poales, Poaceae.